Molecule: ribosomal RNA, 636 nt
Filed under: uncultured bacterium
Lineage: Bacteria
Description: bacterial SSU rRNA
Rfam family: Bacterial small subunit ribosomal RNA
Source: RNAcentral
UAAAGCUCCGGCGGAGACGGAUUGGCUCGCGUGACAUUAGCUGGACGGCGGGGUAACGGCCCACCGUGGCUACGAUGUCUAGGGGUUCUGAGAGGAAGGUCCCCCACACUGGAACUGAGACACGGUCCAGACUCCUACGGGAGGCAGCAGUGAGGAAUAUUGGUCAAUGGGCGGGAGCCUGAACCAGCCAUGCCGCGUGAAGGCGAGUGCCCUACGGGCGUUAAACUUCUUUUGUGCGGGAGCAAUAAGGGCCACGCGUGGCCCGAUGAGAGUACCGCACGAAUAAGCAUCGGCUAACUCCGUGCCAGCAGCCGCGGUAAUACGGGGGAUGCGAGCGUUAUCCGGAUUUAUUGGGUUUAAAGGGUGCGUAGGCGGCGCUUCAGGUCAGCGGUGAAAUACCGGGGCUCAACCCCGGGGCUGCCGUUGAAACCGGAGCGCUAGAAUUCCGAUGCCGUCGGAGGAAUGUGUGGUGUAGCGGUGAAAUGCAUAGAUAUCACACAGAACACCGAUUGCGAAGGCAUCUGACGAAUCGGAGAUUGACGCUGAUGCACGAAAGCGUGGGUAUCGAACAGGAUUAGAUACCCUGGUAGUCCACGCUGUAAACGAUGAUGACUAGCCGUCGGCGAUACAGUGUCG